CCGUUAGUCCCUCUCUUUCUGUUGGUCAGUCUCUCCUUCCAUUUGUCUUCCUGUCUGUCCUUCUUUCUCAAUCCUUCUCUCUCACUCUGAAAGAAUGCAGUUGUUCUCUUCACAUGUUUACUUCUCUCCUGGCUUCGUUUCCAGGUUUGGCGCUCUCCUAACAAAAGUCAGCCUUGGCCCAACACUGCAUCCGGCCUGCCUUUCAGAGUCUGUCUUCAUGCCUCUGGCUCAGUCUUGCCACAGACCCUGACUCCUAUCUGCCUGUACGACAUCUGAUUGCCUCGGCCCUUCUCUUCUCCCCUGGCUGGGCAGCGGGUUGUUUCCUCUGGACCCCUUGUCCCAGACCAGAGAUACUUGUACAAACCACGGUCAUCUGCACUUGUCCUUCAACUGUGAUUUAUGAGGGAUGUACCCGGGCUCAGUGUCUCUGGGAUCCAUUCAGUCAUUUUGUCAGGACUGUCUGGUAAAUUGCCUCUUCUUCCACGGUGCUAGCCGUGAAUGACUGUCCCCUCCGCCAACCCCGGGCCCACUGGUUGUGACGCUCCCAUGGCGCUCCUGCAAGUCUGCCUUGGGCCACAGGGAGGUCCGCCGCUUCAUUUCUGGCACUAGAAUGGAAGGGACCAUGGAAUGGGAAUCCUGGCUUGAGCACCUUAAUCGGGCUCUUCACGCUGUCUUGCACACAGACAGCUCAGAAUAAGAGACCAGAUUCUGGCGUUGUUUCGGUCGGGCUAAUCUGACAGACUUGCACGGCUCCUUUGGAGGGUAAAACCUACUUGGGGGAACAGGGCAUGGGUACCUGAAAAGGGUAUCUUCGUGACACUGAAUGGUACUAACCGUGACCCCACUACCACUGCCAUCAUUUAUAGAAUCUUUGUAAAGCCACUGUUCUGAAGCACUAGGUAUACUUUAGGCCCUUUAAUUGUAGCAACAACCCUCAUAAAGUAGGUACUACUAUGUUCUUUUCACAGAUAAAGAAGCGGAGUCUCAAACAGUCUCUCAAUGGCUUGAGAAAGUCGCCCACGUUCACAGAGGUGACUCUGAUCGCCAUCAAAAUAAGAAGAUUGAGAAUAUGAGGCAAACGACAAUGGUUCCUCCUCUGGGGGUUCACUUUCUGCGGUUUCGGGUACCUGCAGCCAAGCCCAGUCGGGAAGCAGGUGAUCGAUCCUCCUCCUGACAAAUUGGCGGACGAUCCAUAGCGCCUAACGCCACGUCUCAGCGCCUUCCGUCGUCCACCUGCCUUCGUCUCAUUGUCUCAUCGCGUAGGCAUUUAAUCAUCUCACAUCAUUGCAAGAAGGGCCUGCCCCAUGAGAACACUGGAACAUCUGGUUGAUGUCUGCACCUGGAAAGGGCUGAAGCAACUGACUGGCAAAAUUCCUGCACACAUGACUCUCAGCAUGGAUACAGAUGAGAAAACUAAAGCUCAGAGAGGUCAAGCAAGUUUCCCAGGACCUCUCAGCUAGAACUGGAUAUAAAUCCAUGUGUAUCCGUGUAACUGCAGCGCCUUCCCCCUAAAUCAACCUUUUUUUCUGGAUUGCUUGUUUUUUGUUUUUUGUUUUUCUUUUCUUUUUGUUCAUUGUGGAGACCUGAAGAAGAAUCCUGUGGUCCUCGGUCCUGAAAAGGGUCUACCAGAAUUCAGAGGACCUUGUGUCUCUUGCAUCCAAAGCCAUGGCUCCUGGCAGCUGGGACCUGGGCCUCACCACAUGCACCAUGCGUCGCUGGCUUCCAGGUGCCAGGGGCUUGGGCCGAGGCCACACAGUUGUCUGCACGGGCCCCGGCCCCACCGCUGGCUGUCUGGAGUGAACGCCCGGGAUGGAUCCUCUCCGUCUGCCAGGCUGUUUUCCUCAUCCAUCUGCCUUGUUGGCUUUUAAUGCAAGCAGGAAACAAAACCGAAAAAAGAGGAAAUCGGUGCUUUACAGAAAAGGGACAACAUCUUCCUUUAGCGAGUCGGGGGUCUGAGGAGGGGCGCGGUGACUAAGGUUUGCGGGGCGCUGUUACCUGCUGGUGAGGGGCUACAGAAGCCAGCUGCGGAUCAGGCUGUGCCGCCGGUGCCUGCGAGUGGCUGAUGCGGAGGCCUCUUGGCGGCUGGGGGAGGCGGCACGAGCUGUCAGCUUCGAGCAGGAAGCCAACCCAGCCCGCGGCACCCGGAGGGCGAACAGUUGAAUGAAACACACACUUGGUGAGGAUGUUCGGCUUACAGAUGUCACUAAGCUGAAGCCGUGAUCGCUAGGAGCCAAUACAUCGCGGCUUGCGGCAUUGGACCCCACCGACCUGACGCUCUCUUUCCUCACCUGUGGCCGAGAAGGGAUACGGGAUAAGCCGCUUCUUGGCCGCAAGUCCUGGGAAUACUAUUUUGUGUUUGGAAACUGCCAGAGAAGCACUGAUGAGCCAGUCCAUUGCGCCGAGCACGUUGGUCGUGGCGGGCUCCCUUCCGGUGACUGAGGCGGAAGCCAGGGAGAGCACAAGUUCUGGUGGAAUGAACUUCACCCUUGCUUGGGAAUCAACAUGGGAAAUACAAUAGGGUGCAUUUGAGAAACAGUAUCCCCGAUGUCUACGAAAGGCCAGGCUGGCCGAGAGAAGCUACUUGCAGACGGCCACGGCCAGCACUCAGAAGUGGAGAACAUUGUUUUGGAGUCAAAGAGACGGGCCCCAGAGGCAGGCAGGAAGAGUAGCAGACUUAGCACCAUUGCCAGCUUCCACAGACCAGCUGAUGACCCAUGUGAGCCCAGAAUGGAAAAGACUGUCACAUGUUGGGUGCCUGGCCUGGACCUCACAUCAGGUGGUAUCGAUCCCAGAUUCGUCUCCCGAGGCCCUUCCAAUGCGCUUACCUACCUGGAGCCUCUCGCUGGGACAGGCACAAAGAACAGGACCGAAGAAUUCCAUUUCUAAGAAUAAUUUUGUGUAAGGAAAACCUCCCAGUGAAAACGGUCUGAUGAAAUGUGCUUAGUUUGGCUUUGGCCGAGCUCCUCGUCGUCCUAAACGAGGGCACAGAAACACGCACAAACAAUAUUUGCUACUACCUAAAAAGUGUAACCGCGCAUUUACGGCAAAAGCAAUGCAGGAGAUUGAGAAGUGGAGACUGGCCCCUAAGAAGAGCUCCGCUUACAUAAAAGAGGAGGGCCGAAGGAGGUGUGGUCUGCUGCCACCAAGCGGUGAGCCACGUAAGCCUGAUGGCUGCCAAGAGCCCUCACUUAUCCGGAGCCCAGCCUGGUCCCUGGGGAAGGUGGACAGGAAGAGGAGGAAAGUGAAGAAGACGCCAGUGCCGCCAAAGUAACCGUCAGGAAAAGACGCGUCCUAAAGCCGAAUGCGCUUUUUAUUCGGAGAACGCCGCAUCGGGACCUCAUUCGUGCCGUCUUAAGGCCCGAUUCUAACAAGCUUAGUUUUCAAACCCUAUAGCACGUUAGAAUCAAGGAAUUAGCACGCGAAGAAAGCCAGCGAACACACUACAUAUUUAUUUUAGUCUUAACAAACACCAGUAGCAACCAACGCGAUACUGGUUACGGACUCAAUUUUAAGGAUGAUGAAACAGGUUCAGAGAAGGUCAGCCAGUAAGUGAUCAAGUCUGUCUUCACAUUCAGGGUUCUGGCCUCAGAGCUCAUGUCUCUUCCUUUUCUCCCCCUCGCCUUUCCAAAGACGGGCAUGCUGAGAAGCAAGCCUCAAUGGCAGGACAAUGGCAGGACAAUGGCGGGGGACAGCAUGGAAUCAGUAUUGAAAAUUUGCCGCACCCU
This is a long non-coding RNA of Neofelis nebulosa (Clouded leopard), 3725 nucleotides long. RefSeq lists it as uncharacterized. The record is from RefSeq and is a predicted model, not a curated record. The transcript has 8 exons. Lineage: Eukaryota; Metazoa; Chordata; Mammalia; Carnivora; Felidae.